ACAAGUCGAAGUGUGUAACAUACUAAGCUUAAAUAAGUCUAAAAAAUUCUCAAAAAUCGAAAUAACAUAAAUAGUCUCGAAUCAACUUAGUCUUUAAUAACAACCCCUAAUAUGAUUCCUUAAAUAAUAUGUGUCACCCCUCUUUGGAUGAAUAUUAUAGACUCGAGUACAAUGCUUACCCUUUACUUUGCGAACUUCUGCGUUAUCUUCUACCACCUCAAAAAGUUCUCAAAUAUGAGAGCGUACUUUAGGAGCACUAGUUACCCUCUACUUUGCGAACUUCUGUGUUAUCUUCUACCACCUUAAAAUGUUCUCAAACAUUAGAGCCUACUUUAGGAGCACGGGACAUGAUUGAACUUGAACCUAAUAAAA
This 372-nucleotide long non-coding RNA is filed under the name Nicotiana benthamiana. Its description in RNAcentral is "long non-coding RNA (NBEN_LNC010142)". Lineage: Eukaryota; Viridiplantae; Streptophyta; Magnoliopsida; Solanales; Solanaceae. The record is from RNAcentral.